RNAcentral lists this ribosomal RNA (519 nucleotides) under Fusarium sp. WZS7240. Its description in RNAcentral is "eukaryotic LSU rRNA". The stretch from base 126 to 279 matches the Rfam family "5.8S ribosomal RNA". The record is from RNAcentral. Lineage: Eukaryota; Fungi; Ascomycota; Sordariomycetes; Hypocreales; Nectriaceae.
AACCCCUGUGAACAUACCAUACUGUUGCUUCAGCGGAGCACCGCGCCAUAUAAACGGGCCGGCCCGCUAGAGGACCCCCAAACCUGUAUUAAUUUGUGGAUUCUGAGUACCUAUAAAUAAGUUAAAACUUUCAACAACGGAUCUCUUGGCUCUGGCAUCGAUGAAGAACGCAGCGAAAUGCGAUAAGUAAUGUGAAUUGCAGAAUCCAGUGAAUCAUCGAAUCUUUGAACGCACAUUGCGCCCGCCAGUAUUCUGGCGGGCAUGCCUGUCCGAGCGUCAUUUCACCCCUCAAGCCCUGGGCUUGGUGUUGGGGAUCGGCAUAACGGCCUCGCUAGAGGACGCGCCGGCCCCUAAAUUCAGUGGCGGUCUCGCUGCAGCCUCCGUUGCGUAGUAGCUAACACCUCGCAACCGGAACGCAGCGCGGCUAAGCCGUAAAACCCCCAACUUUUACUGAAUGUUGACCUCGGAUCAGGUAGGAAUACCCGCUGAACUUAAGCAUAUCAAAAAGCCGGGAGGAAA